This 715-nucleotide ribosomal RNA is filed under the name uncultured Clavaria. RNAcentral describes it as "eukaryotic LSU rRNA". The stretch from base 282 to 435 matches the Rfam family "5.8S ribosomal RNA". Lineage: Eukaryota; Fungi; Basidiomycota; Agaricomycetes; Agaricales; Clavariaceae. The record is from RNAcentral.
CUUGGUCAUUUAGAGGAAGUAAAAGUCGUAACAAGGUUUCCGUAGGUGAACCUGCGGAAGGAUCAUUAUUGAUUUUUAAAGAUGUGCUGGCACUCCUUCACCGGUUUGCAUGUGCACUCUGCAAAAUCUCCUUCUCUUACCCCACUGUGCACACCCAAGUAGACAAACAGAGUUACAGAGCAAUCUGUGUAAUUCCUGAUUUGCCUAUGUUUUUAUCAAACACCAAUAACAAUCUCAGAAUGAUCUAUAUAGUAAGCUUUUAACAAGCUGAAAUUUAAUACAACUUUCAACAAUGGAUCUCUUGGUUCUCGCAUCGAUGAAGAACGCAGCGAAUUGCGAUAUGUAAUGUGAAUUGCAGAAUUCAGUGAAUCAUCGAAUCUUUGAACGCACCUUGCACCCUCUGGCAUUCCGGAGGGUAUGCCUGUUUGAGUGUCAUUAAUCUCUCAACACAAGAAACUUUGUCUCCUUGUGCUUGGAUAUUGAAGGUUUUGCUGGCGCAAACAACUGUCAGCUCCUUUUAAAUGUAUUAGCAGAGCAGUAUAGGACUGGCCUCGGUUUGAUAAGAAACUUCAUCUAUGCUGUCGCUGGGUUUUCCUCUUUGUGCUCAGCUUCAAAUUGUCUUCGGACUGUCUCUUGAGGCAACAAAAUCUCUAUUGAUCGACCUCAAAUCAGGUAGGACUACCCGCUGAACUUAAGCAUAUCAAUAAGCGGAGGA